CCUACGGGUGGCAGCAGUGGGGAAUAUUGCACAAUGGGGGAAACCCUGAUGCAGCGACGCCGCGUGAGCGAAGAAGUAUUUCGGUAUGUAAAGCUCUAUCAGCAGGGAAGAAAAUGACGGUACCUGAGUAAGAAGCUCCGGCUAAAUACGUGCCAGCAGCCGCGGUAAUACGUAGGGAGCAAGCGUUAUCCGGAUUUACUGGGUGUAAAGGGAGCGCAGGCGGCCAUGCAAGUCUGAUGUGAAAUACCGGGGCCCAACCCCGGGGCUGCAUUGGAAACUGUGAGGCUGGAGUGUAGGAGAGGCAGGCGGGAUUCCUAGUGUAGCGGUGAAAUGCGUAGAUAUUAGGAGGAACACCAGUGGCGAAGGCGGCCUGCUGGACUAUGACUGACGCUGAGGCCCGAAAGCGUGGGGAGCAAACAGGAUUAGAUACCCGAGUAGUC
RNAcentral lists this ribosomal RNA (440 nucleotides) under uncultured bacterium. Its description in RNAcentral is "partial 16S ribosomal RNA". It matches the Rfam family "Bacterial small subunit ribosomal RNA", at positions 338 to 795 of the family's 1533-position model. The record is from RNAcentral.